UACGUAGGGUGCAAGCGUUGUCCGGAAUUAUUGGGCGUAAAGAGCUCGUAGGCGGUCUGUCGCGUCUGCUGUGAAAACUCAGGGCUUAACCCUGAGCUUGCAGUGGGUACGGGCAGACUAGAGUGCGGUAGGGGAGACUGGAAUUCCUGGUGUAGCGGUGAAAUGCGCAGAUAUCUGGAGGAACACCGGUGGCGAAGGCGGCAUCCUGGACCGGUAUUGACGCUGAGGCGCGAAAGCUAGGGGAGCAAACGGG
This 253-nucleotide ribosomal RNA is filed under the name uncultured bacterium. RNAcentral's name for it is "partial 16S ribosomal RNA". It matches the Rfam family "Bacterial small subunit ribosomal RNA", at positions 524 to 776 of the family's 1533-position model. The record is from RNAcentral.